This is a long non-coding RNA of Scylla paramamosain (green mud crab), 332 nucleotides long. RefSeq lists it as uncharacterized. NCBI's taxonomy places the organism in Eukaryota, Metazoa, Arthropoda, Malacostraca, Decapoda, Portunidae. The transcript is spliced from 2 exons. The record is from RefSeq and is a predicted model, not a curated record.
UUGCUGUGACCCAUCCAUUCCUGCCUUGCCGAUGUGUGGUUGGUUGCCCCAGUCAGUCCAGUACAAAUACCUGGACAGACAGUAGCACUGAACAUCUUCAUUGAUGUAUGAAGUGUGUCACUGAUGUGUAAAUUGUGGAGCUGCUUGUAAGGAUCCUGUGCAGUGUUUUCAUGGUGCAUUAGCAAAACACCAUUCCUAGUGGUGACACUGCAACAUCGAGAGCAGGGAAGGUAACAGCUUUGAUACUCACUCACUGCUGCAUGUUCUUAUAAGUGACAGAAAACAAUGUGAAAAAGACUCUUCAUAUAAAAAAAUAAAAGUUCAUGAUGCCA